CGGGGGGGGUGCAAGCGUUAUUCGGAAUCACUGGGCGUAAAGAGCGCGUAGGGCGGUCUCUUAAGUCAGAUGUGAAAGCCCGGGGCUUAACCCCGGAAGUGCAUUUGAAACGGAGGGACUUGAGUAUGGGAGAGGGAAGUGGAAUUCCUGGUGUAGCGGUGAAAUGCGUAGAUAUCAGGAGGAACACCGGUGGCGAUGGCGACUUCCUGGACCAAUACUGACGCUGAGGCGCGAAGGCGUGGGGAGCAAACAGGAUUAGAUACCCUGGUAGUCCACGCAGUAAACGUUGAACACUAGGUGUAGCGGGUAUUGACCCCUGCUGUGCCGCAGCUAACGCAUUAAGUGUUCCGCCUGGGAAGUACGGCCGCAAGGCUA
This 375-nucleotide ribosomal RNA is filed under the name uncultured organism. RNAcentral describes it as "partial 16S ribosomal RNA". It matches the Rfam family "Bacterial small subunit ribosomal RNA", at positions 524 to 896 of the family's 1533-position model. The record is from RNAcentral.